This 484-nucleotide ribosomal RNA is filed under the name uncultured bacterium. RNAcentral describes it as "partial 16S ribosomal RNA". It matches the Rfam family "Bacterial small subunit ribosomal RNA", at positions 28 to 507 of the family's 1533-position model. The record is from RNAcentral.
GAUUAACGCUAGCGGCAGGCAUAAUACAUGCAAGUUGAACGGCAGCACAGGUAGCAAUACUGGGUGGCGAGUGGCGCACGGGUGCGUAACACGUAUGCAACCUACCCUAUACAGGCGAAUAACCUUUAGAAAUGAGGGCUAAUACGCCGUAGUAUUACAGAUGGGCAUCUAUUUGUAAUUAAAGAUUUAUCGGUAUAGGAUGGGCAUGCGUCCCAUUAGUUAGUUGGUAAGGUAACGGCUUACCAAGACGAUGAUGGGUAGGGGAUCUGAGAGGACUUACCCCCACACUGGUACUGAGACCCGGACCAGACUCCUACGGGAGGAAGCAGUAAGGAAUAUUGGGCAAUGGCCGCGAGGCUGACCCAGCCAUGCCGCGUGCAGGAAGACGGCCUUAUGGGUUGUAAACUGCUUUUAUACGGGAAUAAUAGAGUGUACGCGUACAUUUAUGCAAGUAUCGUAUGAAUAAGCAUCGGCUAACUCCGUG